CUGUCUCUUGCUUCAACAGUGUUUGGACGGAACUG
Molecule: non-coding RNA, 35 nt
Organism: Myotis davidii
Lineage: Eukaryota; Metazoa; Chordata; Mammalia; Chiroptera; Vespertilionidae
Source: Rfam